UAUCUGCUCUGAGGAGUGAAGAUUCUCAGUGACCUUCGAAAUAUAAGGACAAGCUAAGGUGGGAAGAUUUUUCAAGCUUAUUUGCAGUUCUAUCAAUUGAAGGGGUUGAACUUGAAUAUUAUACAUUUUGACUCUUAAACUUCUACAAGGCUUCCAGUUAAACAAAGAAGACUGGACCCACGUUCCAUUCCAAAACCCACCAAAAUGAGAGUACAUAAAUGAAUGAGUGAAUGGUAUAAACUCACAAGGACAAGGAGGACAGUAGUGGUGAGCACAGAAGACAAGAGACAUCAGCACAGUUUUGGCGGAUGAUAGCAGAUCAAUGAUUGAUAACUGAUCAACAGGACAGAGAAAGCAGAAACCUGCAUGUCUGCAGAGGAGGAAUGCGAAGUAGAAGUAAGCCCAUGCCACUGCCGAGCCCCAGAGGGGUUGAGGCACCCAAAGCUCAGAAGGUGGCACAACUGACUAGUGAGGUACAAAACAGGAGGACUGAGGGAAAAUGUGCACAAGGGACAAUUAGAUGCAUCUUGCCUACCCUGCCUCCUCUAUUAACCCACACAGCCAGGAGACGGUGAACUGAUUCUGCAGAGAACUCAAACUGGAGAGGCUUUGGACAGAGAGUGAUAUGAACAGAGAUAAGGGUGAGGUGCCCUACUAAAAAGAGGGAGAAUAAGUAAAAUCCUACAUCCUGAAUGGAUGCAGCCCAAGAGACAGAUGUAGAGGUAUGAAAAUGUGAGGGGUUCCCAAGGACACAAUGGGCAGGACAGCCCCGACUCUGUGCAGCAGAGUCCACCAGAUGCCAGCGCCAUUCAGCUUUUUAAUGCCUUUCUUUAAUGACACCAAACACCUCGAGGAAGUUUUUAACAUGAGAGGCAAGGACCAAAACAGAUUUUAAAAAAAAAAUCUUGAAGGAAACAAGAGAUAAUGCUGGGAAAAAAAAAAAAACUGUAGUGCACAACAUCAGGAGACGAGAGAGGACUUCAUAUCCAUGAAACAGGAACAGUAUGCUAUUAAAAGAAAACUUCGGAGAACAACAAAGAAAGAGCUCUUGAAAAUUAAAAAUAUAAUAGCAGAAAUACAAAUUCAAAAGAACAUUUUUGCUUAUUAUCAGAAUAAAAGUGUGAAAAUCUUCACUAAACCCAAGCCCAAAUGGAAAAGAACCUACCUGAGCACCCAAGACUUGGACACACCCCACAUGAACCCAACGUUGCUUACUUUUGGGGAAUUUGGCUACAUCUAAAUGUUAUGUGUUACUGAUGGUGGCAGGGGCCCUCUGUUUUAGAGGUG
Molecule: long non-coding RNA, 1287 nt
Filed under: Equus caballus (horse)
Lineage: Eukaryota; Metazoa; Chordata; Mammalia; Perissodactyla; Equidae
Description: lncRNA (ENSECAG00000048561.1)
Source: RNAcentral